UCGUCAGCUCGUGUCGUGAGAUGUUGGGUUAAGUCCCGCAACGAGCGCAACCCUUGUCAUUAGUUGCCAUCAUUUGGUUGGGCACUCUAAUGAGACUGCCGGUGACAAACCGGAGGAAGGUGGGGAUGACGUCAAGUCCUCAUGGCCCUUAUGGGUAGGGCUUCACACGUCAUACAAUGGUCGGUACAGAGGGUUGCCAACCCGCGAGGGGGGAGCUAAUCCCACAAAGCCGAUCGUAGUCCGGAUCGCAGUCUGCAACUCGACUGCGUGAAGUCGGAAUCGCUAGUAAUCGUGGAUCAGCAUGUCACGGUGAAUACGUUCCCGGGUCUU
This 330-nucleotide ribosomal RNA is filed under the name uncultured Rhodocyclaceae bacterium. RNAcentral's name for it is "bacterial SSU rRNA". It matches the Rfam family "Bacterial small subunit ribosomal RNA", at positions 1052 to 1382 of the family's 1533-position model. Lineage: Bacteria; Pseudomonadati; Pseudomonadota; Betaproteobacteria; Rhodocyclales; Rhodocyclaceae. The record is from RNAcentral.